RNAcentral lists this long non-coding RNA (1020 nucleotides) under Takifugu rubripes (torafugu). RNAcentral describes it as "lncRNA (ENSTRUG00000029425.1)". The record is from RNAcentral. Lineage: Eukaryota; Metazoa; Chordata; Actinopteri; Tetraodontiformes; Tetraodontidae.
GAUGUAGGACCCAUGGAGUAGCUCAAAUGCUGAGGAGAUGAGCGGCAGAGGGUAUCGAUCCUUAAGAGUGAUGUUAUUUAGCCCCCGGUAGUUGAUACACAGAUGAAGGGAGCUUUCCUUCUUCUCAAAAAAAAAUAAAAAAAUCUAAAACAGCUCUUGGGUGAAGUAGGAUGAAUAACGUCCACAGCCAAAGACUCUUGAAUGCACUUCUCCAAGGCUAGCAUCUACGGCUGAGAAAGGGAGUAGAGCUGACCCCUAGGAGGCACUCUGCCCGGCAGGAGGUCAAUACCACAGUGGUACGGGCGAUGAGGUGGCAAGGCAAUGGCACGAGAUUUGCUAAACACAGGCAUUAGGUCCAAGUAUUUAGGUAGGAAGGCAAUAGCUCAGGAAAUCUUUCUGCAACUGGAACAUGGGGCUCCAGUUCCAGUUGGCUUCUUGAGCCAAGGAGUACAUAGUAUUCAUGAGGGGGAAUUAAUGAUAUGGGGCUGAAUACAUUCAUAAUGACUGCCAGAAGUAAGCAGGGAUACAGGGGCAUAUACAUGUGUGGCAGGGCGUGGCCUGCCCUCCGAACAGGUGCCAUAUGGAGGUGCUGCGGGCCACGGCGGGGACCCAACCCCUGGUGGAGGGCGUUUUCAUCACACCUCUCGUGUGUAGUUUUGUUUGUAGUAGCACGGGUGUUUUUAGUUUAUCUCCCCUAAUUGAGUUUUACCUGCCAGUGGGGCCCCAGCCCUGUCCACCCCCUUUUGUUUGACUUUUGUACAGCCGAGUUAUUUUGGUGUUGAGUUGGAUUUAAUAAAAUUGUACUGCCUAACCCUCAAUCCUGUCUCUGGAACCGAACCGUAUCUGCGCGUGCCUGUUUCCGGUUAAUUCCUGGGGUGAAAUUCCCCAGGUGGCGUUGUCAUUGACCGUUCCACCUCUUUCCACCCCGCCACACAUGGGUAAUAUCUGCCAGCUUCUACCAUUAAGGGAUCUGGCCACCAAGGUGGAGUGAAGGGGCUGAAGUGAGAGCUCCAAUUUAGC